GAAAAGUUUUUCAAUAAAAGGGGUAAGGAAAAUGGUACUUAUCUGCUAUAGGAUAGGAUCGUGUUCGAUUAUGGUUGUUGGUGAGGUAAUGGCUCACCAAGCCGAUAAUCGAUAGGGGCCGUGAGAGCGGAAGCCCCGAGAUGGGUACUGAGACAGCGACCCAGGCCUUACGAGGCGCAGCAGGCGCGAAACCUCCACAAUACACGAAAGUGUGAUGGGGUUACCCAAAGUGUUCUAUUAAGAACUGUGGUAGGUGAGUAAUGUUCCCUACUAGAAAGGAGAGGGCAAGGCUGGUGCCAGCCGCCGCGGUAAAACCAGCUCUUCAAGUGGUCGGGAUAAUUAUUGGGCUUAAAGUGUCCGUAGCCGGUUUAAUAAGUUCCUGGUAAAAUCGGGUAGCUUAACUAUCUGCAUGCUAGGAAUACUGCUAUACUAGAGGGCGGGAGAGGUCUGAGGUACUACAGGGGUAGGGGUGAAAUCUUAUAAUCCUUGUAGGACCACCAGUGGCGAAGGCGUCAGACUGGAACGCGCCUGACGGUGAGGGACGAAAGCCAGGGGAGCGAACCGGAUUAGAUACCCGGGUAGUCCUGGCCGUAAACGAUGCAUACUAGGUGAUGGCACGGCCAUGAGCCAUGUCAGUGCCGUAGGGAAACCGUUAAGUGUGCCGCCUGGGAAGUACGGUCGCAAGGCUAAAACUUAAAGGAAUUGGCGGGGGAGCAC
This 717-nucleotide ribosomal RNA is filed under the name uncultured archaeon. RNAcentral describes it as "bacterial SSU rRNA". It matches the Rfam family "Archaeal small subunit ribosomal RNA", at positions 173 to 879 of the family's 1478-position model. The record is from RNAcentral.